CUGAUUGGGGAGGGUCUAAGGAACAUUCUGAUCAAAUUUGGGCCAAGUGCUGCCAAUGGUCAAAUUAGGGCCUAAUAUGGAAAUACAUUUGUGGUCAUAACUUCUGAACCAAAAUUUAAAAGCCAGGCAUCCUUGGGUCAUCUUUGGUCGAGCAAAGCUCAAUGCACCCUAGGACGUCAAUUUCCCUCUAUUAGGUUUUUUUUGACUAUUCCUCCUAUGAAUUUUCUCCAAUCAUCACCACAUUUGGCACACAUCAUCUUCAGAUAAGCCUCACAAAACUUAUCAAAGGAAUUUUUAAAAGUCCAAAGGGUUUGCCCGUAAUGGGCCAAUGAAUGUGACGGCGAAGCCGCCAAACAGGAAGUGAAGCUAUGUCUUAGCAACGACUUUGUACACUGACACAAAACUUGGUAGACAUCUUCAGAACCAUGACCCGAGGGUAUACACCAAAGUUCGUGAUAGCGCCACCUAUUGGUCAAAAGUUACAAUAACAUGCCUAAAAUGCUUACAUCUAACUGCCAUUUUUGCUACUCCUCCUCCAAAUUUUGUCCAAUCUUCACCAAAUUUGGCUGACAUCAUCUUGAGACUUGUCUGUACAAAAUUUAUCAAAGGAAUGUUGAUAUUAACGCUCUGGUAAAUGCAGAAAACAGGAUGUGAGGGUGUAUCUCAGCAAUACAUUGACGUAUCAUCACGAAACUUGAUAAGUAUCUUCAGGACCAUGCCCUGAAUGUACCCAAGAUGUUUUGUUUUUUCUGCAGCACCUUGUGGUCAAGAACUGUAACAACUUUCUUUUUUUUCUUUAUAUCAUUUGAAGAGUUUGUGAUAAAUUCACAGUUCAUUUUUCCUAUACUUCCCUGGAGGAUACAGAAGUGAAUGCACACCAACAUCUGAAAUUCAAGUGUACUUCCUGUCGACCAUCUUGGAUUUUGUUAAAAACUGUUUUUUCGCUACUCCUCCUACAAAUUUUCUCCAAUCAUCACCAAAUUUGACACACUUCAUCUUCAGACGAAGCCUCACAAAACUUAUCAAAAGAGUUUUGAAUAUUCCAAAGAAUCUGAUGGCGAAGCUGCCAAACAGGAUUUGAGGCUGUGUCUCAGCAAAGACUUUGCACACUGACAUAAAACAUGGUAGGCAUCUUCAGGACCAUGACCUGAGGCUAUACAACAAAUUGCGUGCCAGCGCCACCUACUGGUCAAAAGUAACAACAGCAUGUUAAAAAAAUGCUUACAUCUAACUGCCAUUUCCUUCUACAGUCAGAGAAUUCCACCACUGUCUUUGGUCAAAACAUAAACAUCAUGAGUGAAACUACAAAUCAUUCUGGAAUCCCUUUGCCUAAAGUUAUGGCUCUGCUUUCCUGUGAAUGUGUGGAUCACAGACUCUGGGUGCUUGCAACUUUAAAUAUUAUUAUUAUUAUUAUUAUUAUUAUUAUUAUCUAAAAGUGUCUGGCCAUCAGAGACCAUAAGUUGUUGAGACACCAAACUUGGUGCGAUGGUCAAAAAUCCCACUGACUACUCAGGUGCGUUGACACAUCUGUCGGACACUAGGUGGAGCUAUAAUAAGCACCUUUGGUUCAUAACUGUGGAACCGUAAGAGCUAGAAUCAAAAUUCUUUUUUCCACUGAAUCCUUGAGUCAUGCCCUACAAAAUGUAUAUCAAAAUAUAUAUCAUAUCUAUCGUGAAAAUCUUUCCGCCAUUUUGAAUUUAUUUUCUCCUAAGCGGUUAGUCCAAUUUGCACAAAACUUGGCAAGCAUGACAAAAACUUAUUAAAAGACUUUUGAUUCUUCAAAGCAUUGCAAAGAUAUUAGAGAAUUAAUUGGUCAGGCAACUCCCAUUUUUAUGAAUUGACCUAUAUCUGCCGAACGCAGUGUCCAAACUUAACUAAGCUUGAUUGACGUAGUCAACAGCAAAUUCUGAGGAACCACACAAAUUCCAGUCAUAGGGGGCGCUACAACUGAAAAAUCACUGUAACUCCGCAACAGUACGAUCAAUGAAGUUGAACACUGGUAGGCAUCUUCUUUGGUGGACUUCCUAACACAUCCUCUAAUAUCACUCAGAUACAUAAAGAAAAAGGCCACCAGCAGCCAAUCAAAUUUCAGCAGCUAAUAAGGUCAAAUCUGAAUGGCCUCCCGGUAUGAAAAUAGAUAUCUUUGUACAAUAUAUGAAAACAAAUAUUUGUACCAAAUUUUGUGAAAAUAGGCAACAAGUUGGCGCAAUAAUAAGCAACUUUAUGUUUUAGCUAAUGACUCCGCAACUGUGUGCGAUAGAAUAAAAAAAUUCUUGUUUCUUCAGAAUCCUUGCUUUAAACCCUAACAAAUGUAAAUCUCAUUGGUAUGUUGAUCUAUAAAGUUUAUCUGCCAUUCUAAUAUUUAAAAAAACUACUUCUUUGAACUUAUCCUAGGAACUAAACUUGGCAUGCAUGAUCCCCAGGCCCUCAGGACAAAAAAACGAUCAAAAGAAUUUUGAUUCGUCAAAGUGUUGCGAAGAUAUAAGUUAAUUAAUUGCUCAGGUGAUGCCCAUUUUUACAAAUUGAUCUAUAUCUGCUGAACGCAAUGUCCAAACUUAAAAAAACUUGAUAUCGGCCGCAAGGUGGCGCUAUAAUAAGCAAAUUUGCAUUUUUGCUAAUAAUCCAUGCAUGCUAGCAUAUAAUUCUUGCUUCCUACGAAUCCUUGCAUCAAGUGCUACAAAAUAUGUAUCUCGUUUUUAUUUUUAUGUAUAAAGUGUAUCCUGAGUUUUAUAAAAUUAGUUUGCGAACAAAUGUGUGAAAUGCUCAACGAUGAAUAAAUGUUAUCUUAAUUUUUAUAUGUCCAAAUUUUGAAAACACAUCUGUCAAGUUGGCAGACAUGAUUAAAUAAAAAGACUCAGCACCUGAGCAAACUUUUGGUCUUUUAUGAUUUGCCACGCCUACUUUGAGAGGUGCAGGCUAUUUGUUGGUACCUCGAAUAGUGAAGGCUACAGCAGGGGGUAGAGCUUUCUCUUACAAAGCCCCACAGUUAUGGAACAGCCUUGCAAUUAGUGUUCGGGGCUCAGGCACAGUCUCUGUGUUUAAGUCUAGGCAGAAAACAUAUUUGUUUAGUCAAGCCUUUUGUGAAUAACUUUUUCUUAGGUAAAGGAGCAGAUCUGAAGGGUUCACAGGCAUAGAGUGUCGUGGUGAACUGGGAUGUUUGGACGCUGUCGCCCUCCCACUCUCACGGGUUCUCUCAGGUUUGUUGACGGUGGAGUGGCUGGCCGCUUUAUGUCUCAGGAUGGCCUCAUGUCUGUGUUACCUUGUGACUCUCCCUUUUAGUUAUGCUGCCAUAGCUAGUCUUGCCGGAGUCCCUGCUCGUACAUUGCACGCAAAGUACGUUAUCCUUAACCAUUAUGGGACAAAAGCUUACCUAACAAUCUCUCCCUCUCUCCCUCUCUCUCCCUCUCUCUGUCGAGCUACACAUGCCACUCCUGAGAUACCAGUGAGCCUGACUCCUUCUGCUCUCUGGACCUGCCUGAUCCAUCCCGAUGCCCUACUUCUGGUUGGAGUUAUCAUCGGUUGGAGAUCGCUCAAUGCUGUGGUGGCUUUGGGGCUGCGGUUGCUGCAAGCUGUUUUGCACUCAGGACUCCAUCAGUGCUACACAUGCUACUCCUGAGAUGCCAGUGAUCGUGACCCCUUCUGCUCUCCGGACCUGUCUGACCCAUCUUGAUGCCCUACUUCUGGUUGGAGUUCUCAUUGGUCGAGUUUGCUCGCUGCUGCUGGGGGUGGCCCCAUAUGGACGGCCUGAAGAACCGUUUGGAUUGCUGGGGAUGGUGCCACCUGGGGGCUGUGGACUUGGCUUGGGGAUCUCAUAUGGGGAGUUGUACUGUGAUGGCUUGGGACUGUGAUUGCUGUGGUGGCUUUGGGGCUGCAGUUGCCACGAGCACCUUCGUACCUAACCCUAACCCUAACCCUAACCAAUUGAAUUGAAACCAUUUGAUGGAGCACCUCAUUCAGAACAAUGUCAGUCAAAUUGUUCGUUAAAUAUUUGCAAGUACUUAAAAAACAUACUUUUGUGAACUAGUCUUAGGUUUUUUGCGCAACCAAAGUAAACUCAGUGCAGGACAAUUGUGUGGACAGCUUAGAUUAAUAAUUAUCAAAAAAAAGUUUAACUUUCGAUUCAUCGCCGUGACACCAGGCAAAAAUUUUGAAGAGCCACUUUUACUGUUAGUGCAUAAAAGGCACUGAACUACAGUACCCAUCAGCCACUGGAUGUCACAUGACCACACCACAUGUUCCACUGUUCAUUCACACCUGUUUCUUGUUUCACCCAAAUGAGCACCACUACUGAAGUUCAAGUUUUUCUAUGUCUGUUUGUCAAGCUUCUGUUGCUGUUGAUGUUGUGUCCGUUUUGCCUGCCAUAGUCUUUCUCAUAGUCUGUAUGCUGUGUAGUUUUGUGUUUUCCUGCAUUUUCCUGCUGUCAUUAUUUUUAUGAUUAAUACAAUUUAAUUGAUGAUGUAUGAUUACUUUUAACCAUUUAACAAUAUAUUAAAAUGGUUUUAACAAUUUAAUAAUUUCCUUGCAGGAAAAUCCAACUAGGAUAACUAACAGGGAGACCUUAGAUGUCUUGCCUGUUUUUAUAAUAUUAUUGACAUAUAGAGGAGUGAGUUGUUCAAAAACUGGGGUGGGGAUGUUGGUUUAAAACACCUCAUUCAUAUCCUUCCUAAAUUAGAAUAGUUUAUGUAAAUUGUCACAUAAAAUGUGAGUUGUCACGUGUGUUUUAUGUGUUAUAAAUAUAUAGAAUUUAUAAACAUUAUACUCGGGUAUGUUUAAGGUAUUUUGACUUUAAUGGAGCAACAUUUUGACACAGAAGUACCUCUUGUACAAUAUCUGUGUUCUUUUAAACAUAUAUGCACUAUUAGCAUCUCACCUUGAAGGACAUAACUGGAGGCUCUUCUUCAAAUUAUAAACCUUUGUGACUUUGUUGCAGAUUGAGGAUACUCAUUUUUGGAGAUAAAGUCGACAGUUUCUUUAUAGCUCUAUCAUUCUCUAUCAUUAGUAUUUGUUUUCUUCACUCUUCAAAAUUGACACACUUGUAAAUGAACAUACUGAAAUACUGGAGCUGAAAUGUGACACCUGCUAAAAAGUAGGCAUACGCCAGUGAGCGAUGCAACGUCCUGCGUAUGCAUAUAACUAUCUCAAGGUAUUGUCAACCAGUGGCGUGAUUUUGCGGCAGGACUACAUGUAAGACACUGAGAUUUAGUAAAUGUUACAUAUUUAAUUAUAUGAGUAUUUAUAUAAAUAAUUAUAUAAAUAAAAAUAAUAUAUAUUUGUAAUUAUAUAAGAAAUGUAUUUAUUUGUUUGUUUGUUUGUUUACAUAUCACCAACUAUAGACAGUAUAGACAUUACCAGAGUGAAUGUGGUGAACAAUAAAGACGGUUUGGGUGAAAUAAAGGAGGGUAACAGAUUUCGGUAACUAUUUAUUAUGAACUGUCAGAUUUGGUGACCCUUCUGUAUCUCUGGGACUGUUUAUGUAGUGGAUAGAUGUUGAGGUGCCUGUGUCUUUAAGCCACAGCAACGGUGUUGUGUCGCACCUGUAUGACAUCACUAGAUGCGACUGAUUUGUAACAAUUGUUAGCCUCGGAGCUCCUUUAAAAGCACGGCGUAGGCGAUGCUAAGGUAAGUGGCAGUUUUUGUUGGUUUGCCCGUCUACCCUGGGUUUUCUCCUGUGAGUCGGAGCCUGUAGAGGUCUGUGCCUUGAUUGUAAAGGGUGCAGUUGUUGGAGUCCUGCUCCAGGAGUUUGUUGCUGCUUGUUUGCGCUUAUAGUGCGUAUAUCUCAUCUGUGAGUGUUGUAAGCCUGAGGCUGUGUUGCAUCGGUUCCUGCGUUCCGGUAUGUAGCUUUCUUGCUAUAUUAGUAUAUUGGCUUUAGUAUGCCACUUGAUUCACUGUUACCUGCCCCUAUUAGGCUGUGUGGUCGGUUGACUGGGAGGUUUCCCCUUUUUUUUUAAAGGAGCUCCUCUGCAUCGCUGCUUGUGCAGGUGACUUCUGCUGCUGAUUUGCUGCUGUGACUUCAAACCAUUGGGGCCGUCUGCUGACGGCGAGCUGCUGUUUUGUUUCUAGCGAAUUUCUUUAUUGUUUUGUUUCUGUGAUACUGUGUAUUCAGUUUUUUUUUUUUUUUGUAAUUGUUACGCAGUGUGUAUAAUUAGAUCAUCAGCGCGCUAAAAUCGUUAGAGUGGUGAUGUUUGUACGAGUGUGUUUUUUUUGCGGGUAGUUGGUAGUGUGUUUGUGUGCGGUGCUAGCGUGUGUUUGUGUGCGCAUGUGAGCAUGUUGAUUUAAUUUUGUUGGUAUAUGUUUUUUUUUCUUUCUUUUUUUUUUUUUUUUUUCUUUGUUCCUGUAUUUUUGUUCAUUUCUUUUUGUGUGUUCUGUUUCAGGAGUUGGGGGACGCCGGCAGGGAGGCUUGGCACCUGGUGGCUGGGUACCUGUGUUUGUGUGUGUGUGUGUUUCACCUUUCUGGCAGUGUAGUGUCACCUGGGUGUGCUGUGCAGUGUAUGUGUGCGCUUCACGUGUGGUCUUUUUGGACCCUCCUUCCAGAUCGCCUCCCUGUGGUAAGCCCCAUCCUAAUUUAUGUGUGUGUUCUGUC
This is a long non-coding RNA of Pangasianodon hypophthalmus (striped catfish), 6580 nucleotides long. RefSeq lists it as uncharacterized. Lineage: Eukaryota; Metazoa; Chordata; Actinopteri; Siluriformes; Pangasiidae. The transcript has 3 exons. The record is from RefSeq and is a predicted model, not a curated record.